UGGGAAUAUUGGACAAUGGAGGAAACUCUGAUCCAGUGACGUCGCGUGAAGGAAGAAGGUCUUCGGAUUGUAAACUUAUUUUAUCAGGGACGAAAAAAAAUGACGGUACCUGAAGAAAAAGCACCGGCAAACUACGUGCCAGCAGCCGCGGUAAUACGUAGGGUGCAAGCGUUAUCCGGAUUUACUGGGUAUAAAGGGUGAGUAGACGGCAAUGCAAGUCAACUGUGAAAACUUAGAGCUUAACUUUAAGACUGCAGUUGAAACUGUAUAGCUAGAGUACAGGAGAGGAAAGCGGAAUUCCUAGUGUAGCGGUGAAAUGCGUAGAUAUUAGGAAGAACACCAGUGGCGAAGGCGGCUUUCUGGACUGAAACUGACGUUGAGGCACGAAAGUGUGGGGAGCAAAC
This 404-nucleotide ribosomal RNA is filed under the name uncultured bacterium. RNAcentral's name for it is "bacterial SSU rRNA". It matches the Rfam family "Bacterial small subunit ribosomal RNA", at positions 356 to 773 of the family's 1533-position model. The record is from RNAcentral.